RNAcentral lists this ribosomal RNA (409 nucleotides) under Actinomycetes bacterium. RNAcentral describes it as "Actinobacteria bacterium partial 16S ribosomal RNA". It matches the Rfam family "Bacterial small subunit ribosomal RNA", at positions 355 to 776 of the family's 1533-position model. Lineage: Bacteria; Bacillati; Actinomycetota; Actinomycetes. The record is from RNAcentral.
UGGGGAAGAUUGCACAAGGGGCGGAAGCCUGAUGCAGCGACGAAGCGUGGGGGAUGAAGGGCGUCGGGGUGUAAAAGCCGUUCGACAGGGACGAAGCUGGGGUGACGGGAACGGUAUAAGAAGCAAAGGCUAACGACGGGCCAGCAGCUGAGGUAAUACGUAGGGUGCGAGCGUUGUCCGGAAUUACUGGGCGUAAAGAGCUCGUAGGUGGUGCUUCGCGUCGUCUGUGAAAUUCCGGGGCUUAACUCCGGGCGUGCAGGCGAUACGGGCUGACUUGAGUGCUGUAGGGGAGACUGGAAUUCCUGGUGUAGCGGUGAAAUGCGCAGAUAUCAGGAGGAACACCGAUGGCGAAGGCAGGUCUCUGGGCAGUAACUGACGCUGAGGAGCGAAAGCAUGGGUAGCGAACAGG